Cephus cinctus (wheat stem sawfly) is the source of this 3484-nucleotide RNA transcript. RefSeq lists it as uncharacterized. The record is from RefSeq and is a predicted model, not a curated record. The transcript is spliced from 6 exons. Lineage: Eukaryota; Metazoa; Arthropoda; Insecta; Hymenoptera; Cephidae.
GAAACCGAUUUAAGACCGUCGUGUAAACGUAGUCAUUGAUGGGUUGAUUUAAAGCACCAAACAAGUGACGCAAUAUACAUUGCCUUUAGUAAUAAAACUGGAAAUUUAUUAUAUUUAUUUUAAUUAGGUAAAUGUUCCACGCUACAUUGUUAUGGAAAUGUAAUCUGGCGGUACCCAAAUAACAAAAUAAUAUUCUGAGAGCGGUUACAACAUUGUUUAGAGGAUAUCUGAAUAGGGUUGCGCAAAUAUAUUACGAAUAUUCGAGAUUCAGACAUUAAGUUGAUCAUUGUGUUUGUACUGGAAAUGAAUGUAAUGACAAAAUCAAAAAGGCUGAAACAAAAGAUGUAGAAUAUCAUGAUACACCAAUAGAGGAAAACGUCAAAAUAAAAAGGAAAACAAACAGGAAAGAACAAAAUCCUUUUUCGAUUGUUCAAGGAAACUCUUCAAUUAAUGAAACUGGGAAUAAUACAAUAUGGUAACUAUAGACCAGGUGGAUAUGGUAAAGAAAGUGUCCGAGACGAGAAUCAUGAAGAUGACAGCGAAAAUAAAGACGAAGAAGCCAUAGAAGUCAACGUGUCAGACGAAUCGGAUAGUGGAGAAUCUACUAAUUCGGAUACAGAGCAUAAUCCCGUACGUAAUAUCAAGAACAUCCGACGGCAGCGUGUGCGAGAUACACGGAUUUGCGACGAAAGUAUCUCGAGCAGAGGAAACAACCGAACAACGGAAGUACGGGAUAGAGUAGCUGAUCAAGCCGGAAGACAAAUGGGUCAUAACCAAAGGUCACCAACAGAAAACAUGUUUAACAUCAAAGACGUAGAGAACAAUAUUGUACACAGGAAAUUACAGUAUUUCAAACUUUAGAAUGCAAUUUAAAAAAAAAAUGAGUGUUUAAUAAUUUAUAAAACAUUGUCCAAGCAAAAAAUUAAAAAAAUUCUCUCGUUAGAUUAUAGAGAACAUAAUUAUCAAGAGUUAGAAAAAACAAGUUAAAAAAUAUUGAAAAUUGAUUGAGUUAUCAUGCCAACACUGUCUAAAAAUGUAGUUUCGAGAAAAACGCGUUUAAAGUUUCUGGUAGGUACAACGUGAACUUACGGCUAGUCUCCCAUUCCAGCUUCGUACUGUAUACCUUCUUCCUCUUGUAUCUUCGUGUUUUUAAUAGUUUUCUGCAAUCUCUUGUCAAUUCUAUCUUCUUUUGUGGAUUGAAUUGAUUGCAUCCUGGCGUAUUUCAAACGGUUAGCAUUUUCUUUCGAGAGGGGUACGGCAGUUAGUCAGGCUGAGCGAACCCGACGUCCGGUCACAUUUAUUGCUAUAACUUUGUAACGGAGUAGAGUUUUCUUAUAAUGUUUUUUUUUUUUAAAUGUCAGGGGUAUGUGAGCCCUUAAUUAGAACAAUUUACAAAAAUGUAUAUACGGAAAAAAGAUGCUGAAAGGUUCGGCAAAGCAGUUCAUAACAUAUAAAAAGAGGGUUUUAUCAUGGACUGUAUUAAAACGUGAUUAAGACACGAGUUCAAAACAGAACUCAAAACCGCAAUAAUACAUGCUAAGUUUAUGAAGUGCAAACGAAAAGCUGAAGAGAAUUGUCGACAAUGUGACAUAUGUAUAUGUAUGCUAUACAAGAAAUUUCCAGCUAAGGAAGUAUUAAUGAAGGCGCACUGAUGCAACACGGUAGACGGGAUUCAAGACAAUGAAGCAAAUAAAGUUAUACUAUACGGGGCUGAUACAUUGAGCGAUUUAAAAAAUAAAAUGGACGCUUAUGAUCGUAUAAAAAGCGCGUGAAAAAGAAUCGAUUCUUAAAAGAAAAAAAGAAAUAUCGAAAGAUAUGAAAAAUGGUAAACUAACAAUCAAGAAAAAAUACUGUUACUCAUGUGGUUCAACCGAACACGACAUCAAGAAGUAUUCAGUUAAAGAAAAGGAACCGAACUGGUUUUAAUACAACACGUUCGGGCACAUUGCAUCAAAAUGCCCCUCAAAAUUGUCUUUCAAUAGUAAAGCAAACGUUUCAUGCAUUACGAUUUCACGUUUAUCCUAGCUGAAGGAAGGAAUCAGACCAAGGGCAGGGAUUAAUAUCCGCCUGUGGCUGUUCUGAGGAAAGGUCCCUUGCAGCAGAAGAUCAGUGAUUAAUAUUCGGUCAGUAUACGCUAGAGCCUAUCGGAAGUGCACUUUACGUUUGAUUAUAGCGGUUAUCAGGUCACAAAUGGGGAUUAAUACCUAUUCGAGCCGUCAAGGAAAAAUUCAGAGGUCCACCGUAGAGAAGAAUAGAUACCCUCUCCUGAUAGCUUCUGUGAGGUAAUAAUUGCAGGUGACAGCUUAGGUGUGGGAUUAGUGAAUUCCGUACAGUACUGCCAACAAAUCGUUUCUGUAGCUGGAUUAAUACCGCUGUGUCCCUUAUUUUGGAUCAGGAGGGCUUUCCUGAAAUUAUUAAGUUUAUUAUACAUUUUAAGAGUUUAAUCGAAGCGGUGUGACGGAUUGGACCACUAGGACGGAUUGGACUAAGUUCUGUACCUCGAUAGCUUUGGGAUUGGGAAAUUCGAUAACACAAUCAAUUGGUACAAAUAGCUGAGACAAGUAGAAAUACAAAUAUGGUGUGGUUCUCCGAUAAUUACACGUGUUUCGACCGACAAUACCGUUGAAAAUUUUCCAAGAAGAAUCUUAGAAAAAGCUUCCAAAAAGAAUAUGGAAAAAUCACAUAAGAAUUUGGAAGAAAAGCCAGUACCAGAUGGACUUGCCGAAAUAUGCUGUAUCAAAUGUGUCGAACCUGAAAACCCGAUGAUUCAUGCACCGUUUAAGGAGAAGAUCCAACAAUUGAUAUGAAGCUAUAAAACAAGAAACGAUGUGGUGACUCCAAUUGAAACAAAAAUUAGACUGAAAUCAAAUUAGGUGGUUGCACAUAAUUUACACCGGCUUAUUCCAAGAGAGAAAGAAAUUACGAGUAAAAAUAUUCAAGGACGGACAACAUCUGAAAUUAUUCAACCAAGCUCUAGUCAAUAUGAUAGUUGAGUGGUUGUUACACCAAACAAAGACGAAGCGUACAGAAUUUGUAUCGCUUUUCGACAAUUAAUCCGUCGAAUCGAACGAGACCGAUUUCCAAUUCCACUAUAGAAGACUGCCCUGAAGAAUGCUCGAAUAUACUCGACAAUCAAUCUGAAGAUUGGUUUCUUUCAUGUACCCGUUGCUCAAGACAAUUAAUUACUCGAAGACCUAACCAAGUGAAAAAUUAUAAUAACAUAUGGAUAAUAUCACUAUUUCUGGAAAAAAAAUGAAGAAACAUCCACAAGGAUUGCAGAGACCUUGUAUGUAGUAGCUCAAAAUGGGUUAGUGAUUAACUGGAAAAAGUGUUAAUUCUUGAAAAACGUGUAGAAUAUUUGGGAUAUAUGUAUAUUAGAAAAUGGAUGUGAUUCAUCUUCUCCAGUAAAGCUUAAAGCAGUGUUACGUAGGCCGUAGUCGCUAGCAAGGCUUUUAAAUUUGAUAACAAAAAUUUAGAAGUAACC